This 21-nucleotide non-coding RNA is filed under the name Arabidopsis thaliana (thale cress). The record is from RNAcentral. Lineage: Eukaryota; Viridiplantae; Streptophyta; Magnoliopsida; Brassicales; Brassicaceae.
UGAAGAUCCCAAGUACUCUAC